GAUGAACGCUAGCUACAGGCUUAACACAUGCAAGUCGAGGGGUAGCAGGGUAGCAAUACCGCUGACGACCGGCGCACGGGUGAGUAACACGUAUCCAACCUUCCCAUAACUCGGGGAUAGCCUUUCGAAAGAAAGAUUAAUACCCGAUAGUACUUAACAAAGGCAUCUUUGAUAAGUUAAAGAUUUAUUGGUUAUGGAUGGGGAUGCGUUCCAUUAGAUAGUUGGUGAGGUAACGGCUCACCAAGUCUUCGAUGGAUAGGGGUUCUGAGAGGAAGGUCCCCCACAUUGGAACUGAGACACGGUCCAGACUCCUACGGGAGGCAGCAGUGGGGAAUAUUGCACAAUGGGCGCAAGCCUGAUGCAGCCAUGCCGCGUGUAUGAAGAAGGCCUUCGGGUUGUAAAGUACUUUCAGCGGGGAGGAAGGCGGUGAAGUUAAUAGCUUCACCGAUUGACGUUACCCGCAGAAGAAGCACCGGCUAACUCCGUGCCAGCCGCCGCGGUAA
This 503-nucleotide ribosomal RNA is filed under the name uncultured bacterium. Its description in RNAcentral is "partial 16S ribosomal RNA". It matches the Rfam family "Bacterial small subunit ribosomal RNA", at positions 28 to 523 of the family's 1533-position model. The record is from RNAcentral.